This 464-nucleotide ribosomal RNA is filed under the name uncultured bacterium. RNAcentral describes it as "partial 16S ribosomal RNA". It matches the Rfam family "Bacterial small subunit ribosomal RNA", at positions 28 to 506 of the family's 1533-position model. The record is from RNAcentral.
GAUGAACGCUGGCGGCGUGCUUAACACAUGCAAGUCGAACGGAAAGGCUCCUGCUUGCAGGGGUACUCGAGUGGCGAACGGGUGAGUAACACGUGGGUGAUCUGCCCUGCACUUCGGGAUAAGCCUGGGAAACUGGGUCUAAUACCGGAUAGGACGAUGGUUUGGAUGCCAUUGUGGAAAGUUUUUCGGUGUGGGAUGAGCUCGCGGCCUAUCAGCUUGUUGGUGGGGUAAUGGCCUACCAAGGCGUCGACGGGUAGCCGGCCUGAGAGGGUGUACGGCCACAGUGGGACUGAGAUACGGCCCAGACUCAUACGGGAGGCAGCAGUGGGGAAUAUUGCACAAUGGGCGCAAGCCUGAUGCAGCGACGCCGCGUGGGGGAGGACGGCCUUCGGGUGGUAAACUCCUUUCGCUAGGGACGAAGCGCAAGUGACGGUACCUGGAGAAGAAGCACCGGCUAACUACGU